This 1042-nucleotide unclassified non-coding RNA is filed under the name Hevea brasiliensis (rubber tree). Lineage: Eukaryota; Viridiplantae; Streptophyta; Magnoliopsida; Malpighiales; Euphorbiaceae. The record is from RNAcentral.
GAGAGAGAGAGAGAGAGAGUGCACAUUUGCAUGGAGGUUGCUUCUAUUUUAAUUUACAUAUGCCUCUUUCUCUCUAGUCUACUCUCUUAUUCCUUCUUCAUCAAGAAGAAAACAAGGAUAUCCAAACCAAAAGCUAAGCUUCCUCCAGGUUCAAUGGGAUGGCCUUACGUGGGUGAAACUUUACAACUCUACUCUCAAGACCCAAAUGUCUUCUUUACCACAAAGCAAUUAAGAUAUGGAGAAAUAUUCAAAACCCACAUACUUGGGUGUCCUUGUGUCAUGCUGUGUAGUCCUGAGGCUGCAAGGUUUGUGCUGGUGACUCAUGCUCACUUGUUCAAGCCUACAUACCCCAAAAGCAAAGAAAGACUAAUUGGACCUUCAGCUCUCUUUUUUCACCAAGGAGAGUAUCAUAAUCACCUGAGGAAGCUAGUUCAAGGUUCAUUAUCUCCAGACACGAUCAGGAAACUAAUUCCAGAUAUUGAAUCAAUGGCCAUUUCAGCCUUGGAAUCAUGGGCUGAUGGGCAUGUCAUCAACACUUUCCAUGAGAUGAAGAAGCUUUCUUUCCAAGUAGGUAUUCUCUCUAUCUUUGGUCUCUUGGACAGCAACUACAGAGAGAAGCUAAAUGAGAAUUACCACAUAAUGGAUAAGGGUUACAAUUCUUUUCCAUCAAACAUUCCUGGAACUCCCUAUCAAAAAGCUCUCUUGGCGAGGAAAAGACUUGAUCAAAUCCUUGGUGAGAUCAUCUGUGAAAGAAAGGAGAAAAGACUGCUAGAGAAGGAUCUCUUGGGUCGUUUUCUCAACUUCAAAGAUGAAAAUGGGCAAAUUUUAACUGAAGAUCAGAUAGCUGAUAACAUUAUAGGAGUACUUUUUGCAGCUCAAGAUACUACUGCUAGUGCUUUAACAUGGAUUCUGAAAUACCUUCAUGAUGACCAGAAACUCCUUGAAGCUGUAAAGGCUGAGCAAAUGGCAAUAUGUGAAGCAAAUAAUGGAGGAAAGAAGUCCCUAAGAUGGACACAGACAAGGAAUAUGCCACUUACGUAUA